AAUUUUGGACAAUGGGGGCAACCCUGAUCCAGCCAUCCCGCGUGUGCGAUGAAGGCCUUCGGGUUGUAAAGCUCUUUUACCCGGGAUGAUAAUGACAGUACCGGGAGAAUAAGCUCCGGCUAACUCCGUGCCAGCAGCCGCGGUAAUACGGAGGGAGCUAGCGUUGUUCGGAAUUACUGGGCGUAAAGCGCACGUAGGCGGCUUUGUAAGUUAGGGGUGAAAGCCCGGAGCUCAACUCCGGAAUUGCCUUUAAGACUGCAUCGCUUGAAUCCGGGAGAGGUGAGUGGAAUUCCGAGUGUAGAGGUGAAAUUCGUAGAUAUUCGGAAGAACACCAGUGGCGAAGGCGGCUCACUGGACCGGUAUUGACGCUGAGGUGCGAAAGCGUGGGGAGCAAACAGG
This 399-nucleotide ribosomal RNA is filed under the name uncultured bacterium. RNAcentral's name for it is "partial 16S ribosomal RNA". It matches the Rfam family "Bacterial small subunit ribosomal RNA", at positions 360 to 776 of the family's 1533-position model. The record is from RNAcentral.